Molecule: ribosomal RNA, 253 nt
Filed under: uncultured bacterium
Lineage: Bacteria
Description: partial 16S ribosomal RNA
Rfam family: Bacterial small subunit ribosomal RNA
Source: RNAcentral
UACGAAGGGGGCUAGCGUUGUUCGGAAUUACUGGGCGUAAAGCGCACGUAGGCGGAUUUGUAAGUCAGACGUGAAAUCCCUCAGCUUAACUGGGGAACUGCGUCUGAUACUGGCGGGCUUGAGGACAGGAGAGGAACGCGGAAUUCCAGGUGUAGCGGUGAAAUGCGUAGAUAUCUGGAGGAACACCGGUGGCGAAGGCGGCGUUCUGGACUGUUUCUGACACUGAAAAACGAAAGCCAGGGGAGCAAACGGG